Molecule: ribosomal RNA, 211 nt
Filed under: uncultured type II methanotroph
Lineage: Bacteria; Pseudomonadati; Pseudomonadota; Alphaproteobacteria; Hyphomicrobiales; Methylocystaceae
Description: partial 16S ribosomal RNA
Rfam family: Bacterial small subunit ribosomal RNA
Source: RNAcentral
AAUGGCGCGCAGCCUGAUAAGCCAUGCCGCGUGAGUGAUGAAGGCCUUAGGGUUGUAAAGCUCUUUUGUCCGGGAAGAUAAUGACUGUACCGGAAGAAUAAGCUCCGGCUAACUUCGUGCCAGCAGCCGCGGUAAUACGAAGGGGGCUAGCGUUGCUCGGAAUCACUGGGCGUAAAGGGCGCGUAGGCGGACUUUUAAGUCGGAGGUGAAA